RNAcentral lists this transfer RNA (76 nucleotides) under Fidelibacterota bacterium. RNAcentral's name for it is "tRNA-Thr". It matches the Rfam family "tRNA". From Rfam's summary of the family: Transfer RNA (tRNA) molecules are approximately 80 nucleotides in length. Their secondary structure includes four short double-helical elements and three loops (D, anti-codon, and T loops). Lineage: Bacteria; Pseudomonadati; Fidelibacterota. The record is from RNAcentral.
GCCACCGUAGCUCAGCUGGUAGAGCAACUGAUUUGUAAUCAGUGGGUCGGGGGUUCGAAUCCCUUCGGUGGCUCCA